RNAcentral lists this ribosomal RNA (159 nucleotides) under Tricholoma bakamatsutake. RNAcentral's name for it is "partial 28S rRNA". It matches the Rfam family "Eukaryotic large subunit ribosomal RNA", at positions 38 to 192 of the family's 3401-position model. The record is from RNAcentral. Lineage: Eukaryota; Fungi; Basidiomycota; Agaricomycetes; Agaricales; Tricholomataceae.
GCAUAUCAAUAAGCGGAGGAAAAGAAACUAACAAGGAUUCCCUUAGUAACUGCGAGUGAAGUGGGAAAAGCUCAAAUUUAAAAUCUGGGGGUCUUUAUGGCCUUCCGAGUUGUAAUCUAAAGAAGUGCUAUCCGCGCUGGACCGUGUACAAGUCUCCUG